ACCAUUAACAUAUUCACCAAUCAAUUGGUGUGUCAUGUCAUCAGUGCUUAAUAUAAGUUAAGCACCAUUGCCCAUUAGAUCAUUUUCUUAUACAUAUAUAUAUGUAUGCUACAAUUUAGCAAGUGAUAACAAUGGAAGAGUUGAGGUAGUAUGUGACCGUGGAUAUAGAGACUUCUUUUAGAUUAAUAAGCUGUGAUACAAUAAGUGCCUUCUUACAAAUAUAACCAAACUCUUCUUCUUUGAAUUUCCAUGCUUGCACAUUCUUAGUUUGGAAAUUUGCUUAUGCUCAGUAUCUUUUCUUGAAUGUUGUGGUACUUUCGAGAAUCUUUUAACACGAUCCUGGAUAUCAAUGGCCACUAGAUAUGAGCAAAAGACUGGGUAGUGUGUGAUAGACCCUAUACUUGAAAAUUUUAAGAACUACACUAUUUUGGGAAAGUAAAUUUUCAAUAAUAAAGGUUUUUUCACCUAUCGUGUUUUUGCAACAAAGUAAGUUUUUGUUUGAAGUAAAACUUUGCCUACCAAGAAUAGUUUUGCUGCUUUUGUGAGGCCAAUGUGUAUUUACAAUAGCUAAAUCUUCACUUAAUAAUAUGUUCCUAAUAUUUUACAUUAAUAAGAGAAAUGAUAAAAACCUCAUCUUAAUUGGGUAACUUUCUAUUAUAUAAAAAUUAUCUUCUCACUUUAUUGGAAAAUUCAGUUAAUUCUAGUAUGUCAUUGAUCAUGUGAUAGUAUAACAUUUGAUAUUAAUAGAGAUUUCCCAUAAGCCUGAUAACUUCACGUAUAAUUCUAUAUAUAAAUCAUAACUUACAACUAGAUAAGGAGAGGUAUAACGAGUAAUUCUAUAGACAUGUUAUUUAUUCGGUAUUAAGCAUUAUACUUGUGUAAAGCUUUAUUUGCUUUAAAUUCAAACAACUUGAUUUGAAUUUAAAGCGGAUAAAGCUUUACACAAGUAUUUAUUUAGAUGUGUAUUGUUUUGCCAAUCAAUCUUAAGCCUAACAACACCGUGAGAUUUUCACUCAUUUGGAGUGUCAGCAGGUGCUUAUUGUCAACACAUUGGUGGUACUGUCUUUGGAAAAUGUCAUGUUUAUUCCCACCAACAAAUUCCCAUGAGUAACUAUUAUUGAUGGUUUUGUUAUUAUCAAAAUCAGAACUUUACCAUGACAAUCGAGAAAGGACAGUGGAUUUUAUGUUCUCGACAGCAUGAGGGAAGUAAUGUAUAUUUACUUUUAAAAAUGGAAUUUUUCCUUCUUGCUCGAUAGUGGAAAUAGACUGCAGUAAGUUUGUGAGUUGCUAAAAUUAUAAAACAUUUUUUAUGAUCUUGCAAGAAAAUCGUUUAACAUAGGCAGGCAAAUGUUGUCUGGAGAAAUAAAGGCAGAAAAAUGUGACGAGUAUCCUCUGUUAAAUUGUUAAUUAUAAGGUUGACUUGACAGUUUACCACUUUUGUUCAAUAUGAAUUAAAUAUGUGCUUACAUACAUCAUGGCAGGAUGACAUUAGAUUUAAGUACUGAAAGUUGUGCUUGAUAGAAGAAAACCAGCACCAGAGGGGUCAACAAAAAGCUUCAGGAAUUAAAAAGGGAGAGUGGGUGUGGGGGGGGGGGGGGGG
RNAcentral lists this long non-coding RNA (1600 nucleotides) under Olea europaea (common olive). RNAcentral's name for it is "long non-coding RNA (OEUR_LNC011647)". The record is from RNAcentral. Lineage: Eukaryota; Viridiplantae; Streptophyta; Magnoliopsida; Lamiales; Oleaceae.